Molecule: ribosomal RNA, 382 nt
Filed under: uncultured eukaryote
Lineage: Eukaryota
Description: partial 18S ribosomal RNA
Rfam family: Eukaryotic small subunit ribosomal RNA
Source: RNAcentral
UGUAAGCGUAUACCAAAGUUGUUGCAGUUAAAACGCUCGUAGUCGGAAUUUGGCAGUUCCGGAUGUGUGCACGUCGUGUGCGCACUUCGCGGGGAUUGCUUUUGUGGUCUUGCGUAGGAUGAGGCACUUUUAUUAGUGAACGUCCUCACGCAACCACUUUUUACUGUGAGAAAAUCAGAGUGCUCAAAGCAGGCAUUUGCCGUGAAUGUAUUAGCAUGGAAUAAUAGAAUAGGACUUGGUUCUAUUUUGUUGGUUUGUUGGGACUGAGUAAUGAUUAAGAGGGACAGUUGGGGGCAUUUGUAUUUCGGUGCUAGAGGUGAAAUUCUUAGAUUUCCGAAAGACAAACUGCUGCGAAAGCGUCUGCCAAGGAUGUUUUCAUUGA